AUGUGCCCCAGAGGACAGAGUUCCCAUCUCAUGCUGUCAGACUGCCACAUUUCUGCUUUUUUGGAUGAGCGUUGCCUUUGGGAAAGGCUGACUCAUGUGCAAGUGGGGAAAAACCUGCUCAGUGUCCUAAGCCCCUCUCCCACAUCUCCUGUGCAGCCUCUCCCCUGCUCUGCCCCCCUCCUGUCUCCAGAAAUGCCAACAGUGGGGACCAGGGGCACCCAGCAAGUCUCUGCCGAUGCCCCGCGCUCCCACAGAGCUGGUUCCUGUGUCACUGCAGCUUGGUGUCGAUACACAUCACCAAAUCACGCAUCCCCGAGCAGGCUUGGGUCCAUGUCCAGCGCCCGCUGCAAGGCUGGGGUCCUGGGGGAGGACACGCAGCGUGGGUGCCUCGAAGCCAAACCGACGCGGCACUGGUGCUGGGGUGGGACAGGCUGGGGGCAGCUCCCAGCCCCCAGGGCACGUGCCGGUGUCCCCAGGCGUGGCAUGCAGGACCUUGGGGGGAAGCCCCAGGUCCCCAGUCCAUUGUCCCCGGACCCCAGCCCUGCCUCCGCCUGCUGGGAUCAGGCGCUGAGCCCCAGGGCUGGAGCUCCCCGUGCGCCUGCCCCACUCCGCGCGUCCUGGUGCGCGCAGAGCCCCCAGCCCCGAGCCGCGUGCCCACCCCCAGCCCCCCGGAGGUGCCCCCAUCCCCCGGGCCACGGAGAGGAGGAACGAGAGGCAGCGGCAGAGCAGCGGCUUUAUUGGGGGCAGGCGGCGGGGGCAGAGCCGGGGCCGGGCGGACGCGGGGGCUGGGGGCGCCGGGCGCUGUGCGGGGGGCUUCCCGCAACGGAGCCCGUCCCGGGCCGCCGGAGCCCCCGCACCGAGCGUCGAAGCGCCGCUUCUCCGGGGGCUUGCGCCGCCGGGCCUCGCGGAAGCCUCCGGUUUCCUCUUUCCACGCUGGAGGGCAGCAAAGCCCCGCGCUCCGCGUCGAGGUGGCCGGGAGGUGCGGGGACGGGACGCGACGGGACGGGGAUGGAGGGGACAGGAGGGGAUGGGGAUGGAGGGAAUGGGGACGGGACGGGGCGAGAAAGGGGUCCCGACGGAUACGGGGAUGAGGAUGGGUUGGAAGGGGCGUGGGAGAGGAUAAAAGAGGAUGCGAUGGGGAUGGUAUUGGGAGGGGAUGGGGAUGAGGAUGGAAACAAAUGGCGACAGAGAUGA
Molecule: long non-coding RNA, 1194 nt
Filed under: Anser cygnoides (Swan goose)
Lineage: Eukaryota; Metazoa; Chordata; Aves; Anseriformes; Anatidae
Description: lncRNA (ENSACDG00005008116.1)
Source: RNAcentral